Chelonoidis abingdonii (Abingdon island giant tortoise) is the source of this 5763-nucleotide non-coding RNA. Lineage: Eukaryota; Metazoa; Chordata; Testudines; Testudinidae. The record is from RefSeq and is a predicted model, not a curated record.
GGACAGGUGACCGGGGAUCCAGCUGUGCAGUGAGCCAGGAUCUGUUUGACUCCAGUGCACUCCUGCCAGUCCCAACAGCUGCAGCUGAUGCUAUUGUGGCGUGGAGGGUCUCCCUCUCCACACCUGCCAAGCUUCUAACCCAGAUGAGUGGGAGAAAGGAGUAAGGAGAAAGGGAGAAAGUUCCAGGAGAUCGUGCAAACCUGUGCUGGAACAGAGAAUGAGACCAGGGCCUGGAGGAUCACCCUUGCAGCCAGCCUGGAGAAAGAAAGGGGAAUGCACAAGGACGUAGCGGGGCUUCUCAGGCUGCAAACAGAUGCUGAAGACUCUGGUAGACAGGCAGGUCCAAGAAUCCCAUGCUCACGUCCCUCUGCAACCCAUGGAGAACUCAAAUGUUGUGACCCCCCCUCCCAGCAUUUCAUGUGUCAUGAGCAAUUGCUGCACUAUCACUUCCUGCCCCCAGGGAACAUGAAAGACAAUCAGAGCUGUCCAUGCACUGACUUGUGGAAGCCGGGUUGGUGUAUGUGCAUCUGAAAUAGAAAUGACUGCUCUUUCCCCUUCAUAAGUUCAGUUUUCUUAAUAAACUAAGUUCUAAAUGUUUUAUCAUUUGCCUUGUUCUGUCAUAGAAUAAAAUUUCACUUUGCGAAACAUAAUUGAUUUUUAUUAGUUCACAAUAUAUGCUGGCUGGUGCUGAGCAGGUCUGACACCCACCGAUUUCCUGGUACUUCAUUUUGUCACAGAACCUAUAACAAUAUUCAGACAUUAAUAGUACAUUGACAAUGCUCUAUUUCCUACACACACACAGAGCACUUCCUACAAGAUUCAUUCUGGGCUGGAAAAGAGAAAGUUCACGUAGAGCAUACUGCAGCAACACACACUACUCUGGCUCACUAUUCAAAUGGUCUUUCACAGCCUCCCUGAGCUGUACAUCUCCACUUUGAGCUCUUAUAGCCCUUUUAUCUGGCUGCUCAUAGUGCCGAGAGUCACAAUCCUGCAUAGCAGGAGGUGAUUAAUAGCCCUCAGCACUUACACAAGAGCUGCCCCUGUGGAGGAUUUCUGACUCCAAAUUGCUACUGGUCAGUUGGGAAUCAAUCUAACAUAGCAGGUUUCCACAGUGCAAUCACCACUUGCUGCUUAACAGUCAGUGCAGAUCUCAUCUUGAUGUCCCUGCAUGGGAGGGCGGAGCAGGUUCAGCACAGAGAUCCAGGAAUGUGGCCUCGCACAUCUUAAAGUUCAGUAGCUACUACUCAGCAUCCCAAACCUGUGUUACAAGGCGAUCCCACCAGUCAGUGCUUGUUUCUUGCGCCCAGAACUAGUGCUUCACCAUCUCCAGCUGCUCUAAGAACACCAACAAGCUUGAAGUGUUUCUUUUUAUAGCCCACAGCAAUCUAGCCUCCAAGGAAUCACAUUUCCCAUAGCUCCUCUUGCAUCUCUACAAAUACUGCAGGACCAGGUGCCCUUCCUGUGCUCAUAACAGUAGUGCACAGCUGUACAGGUUCCAUGCUUCUGUCAGAGCUGAUAGCCAGUGAGGAGGGAUGUGUGGGUUUGUGGAGAUUUUGAAGAGAUGUGAACUAUUAUGGGAAGCAGAUGAAAUUAUGGGCUGGAGAAUAUUGCAUUACAGGCAAUUGAACCCAUGCUCCCAAUCACCCCUGUGCAGCUUAUUUUGGCCCCAUGAGGCAUUGCAAAUACUUCUCAAACCACUCUGCACUGAGUAGUGGUGAGUUACAGGAGGAUACCUACCCAUGGUGUACUGCACUCUGUAUCGCUACAAGCGAGGACACGGCCCUUGCCGACACAAGGAGAGUAGCAUAGAAUUGGCCUAGAUUCUUUUUGUGUGGCUCCCCUUUUUGAAGUUAAAUGCUACUGUGGUGGGAUACUUUGAUAUCAAACAUUGCCUCACUCCUGGUGGCUUCCAGGACUAUCAGCUUCCCCCCCCAGUAGUCAUAUGGUAAGCAGGCUCAGAGGUUACCUUAGAGCAUGCCUACCCAAUUGGGGCCUGCACAAAACAUAGGCACGGGUGGUGCCAGUGCACCCCCUCCCCAUAACACACAGUGCAUACUCAAGGUUGUAGAGCCCAUGCCUGGGCUGGGGAAGGGCCAUGUUCAGUUCCCUCCUCUACCUGAGGAGCAGGGAUGUGAAGCCAGCUGAGUACCCUAACCAUUGGGCUGUGGGGCAUUCUGGGGCAUGUCUCCCUCUCACCUCUUGAAGCUGUUCCACUUUGCAUAACAGACUGAACUAUUCACUGGGCCUGGGUGAGAGAAAAUCACUAAAGCUAGUGGUCAGGGCAUCACCUGGGAUGCAGGAGAGCGAGUUCAAGGCCAUGUUCUGCUGACUAUAAUAGGUAUAUAGUGGGGAAGAAAGAACUGCAACAGGAGAGACUGAGCCCUUCCACCAAAUGCACACCAGUGACAUGGAAGAUGGGAUCAAAUUCCAUUUGCUCUCAGGUCAAGGGGGAAUGGGAGCCUCAGUCACCCAUGUCCUGGGGAAGUGCUAGACCCCCACCACUAGUGGUAGAAGAGGCAAUGGGGACACUAGCACCUCCCCUUUUUUUUUUUGGCAAGAAAGAACUGCCCUGGCACAGGUCCCUGACUUCAGGAGCGCUCAUGGCUGAGAUUCCUGAGUGGAGAUAGGCACCUCUCCCAGCAGAGCCCAGUUCCCUUUGAGGGCAGAGCUUAGACCAAACACUUCACCUUGGCAUUACCUCAUGGCUGGCUCAGUGUGCUGCCCUCUGAGAGUCCCAGUCUUAGGUACCUGUUUCGCUCCAUGUCUUGUACAAGGAACCCGGGCAUCUGACUCAGGGCUGCAGAUUCCAUGAGGCAGCAGGGCACCUGCAGGGUAAGCGUUGCAAUGCUGAAACUAAGCCCCUUUGUGGCUCUAGCACAGGGUGGUAGCUGUGGCCCAGCUCCAUGUGCUGCUGGCUGGGGAUUAGCUCUGCCAGUCUGAUGCCCUUCCUGCGGGUGCUCACUAUGCCUGUCUUGGGACACACCAGAUCCCUCUUCAUGGCUUGGACCUUUGGGCAGGUCACUGUAAUCUUCCCCUCCCAAGGAGGUUUGUGUACCAAGGUCUCUGUACUAGGCAAUCUUCCAAUCCACUGCCCAUCAAUGGUGCCACUUCCUCAGUGGCUGGCAGGGGAACCUGAGCCCACCUUUUACGCCUGGUUCCAGCCCAGGGACCUUACAACCAGUGGCUAAGGUCUGCGCUGUCCCACACCUUGCUACUGUUGUCCUGGACUGCCUCCUACGUUGCCUCUAGCAAGCUCCUUCUCCACCUUCCUCUGGGUAUGCCUGCCCUCUGGGACAGCUCCAUGCUCUCCAUAACCUCAGAGGGAGUGACUGCAAACUCCUCUCCGUAGCCCCUUUCUGCCCUCUGCUACCUGGCUUUAUACCAGCCCAGUCCGAGUGAGCGUCAUCAUUUAAUUAGCUCUCAUUGUUCCCUGGCUCCUCCUCUAGAUGCAGCCCAAGUGCUUACUUGGCUUAUGUAGCUACCGUAACCCCUUCAGAGGCUGGUGUGGGGUAAACACCCCAUCACACCAGCCUUUCCUUUUGUUUGAGUAAAUUUAGUGUGGUUGAAAAGUGCUGGGGGAAUGGUCCUGCAGCCCAGCACUUCCUGCUCCAACAUUUUAAGUCCCUCUAGAACAUUACCAGAAACCAGGCUUAAGGUAAUGUGAUGUAAGCUCCCACCUCAGGCUUUAUGAGACCCCCUUCCAAGUUACAUAAAAGUGGAGCUGGUGUCUCGCAGAUGCUAGGGGAACUGUUACUACAGACCUGUGAGAGGGUGAAGGCACUGUACAUGAAACUCCUGGAGGCCCUGUCAACUUAAGGAACCUGACAACUGUUACAGCAUCCUGCCACUGGGCACCCUACAUGGUGUCAUAAAUAGCCCCUGUGGACAGCAGUUGUGACACCAUAUCAUCAGGUGCAUUAAGAUGAGUUGUUAAUAAUAUACCAUGAUGCCCAUGUACCUAGGGCCAGACACCUCUUUAUAGGAAACAGAUUCAAUUACAGAGUUCUGUAUCUUUUGUGCUUGUUUGCCAGAUGAUGCCGAGGCCUCUUGCUUGGGAAAAACGGUGGACAGACUCCCAAGCAUUUCCUGAACCAUGGCUCUAAUGAAUAGCUCCUUUAGCACCGUACCAUCACAGCUGAGGUUAGAUAAGACACUGGCUAAUAAGGCAGGAUGGUAAGCAUGGGAGGCCUUGGGCCUGGCCUUAUCUGUCUCCUUUUACAAAUGAAGUUUUUUCUGAUUUCUCCUUUUCUCAGUGGAACUGACUGCACAGCUGGCCUGGAGGGGCUGGUUACCCAUGUGGUGUGGGUAGAUUUACAGAAGGGCUGACUUGUAGCCUCCUUUGCUCCAGGGUUGUUUGUCCCUGCAGCAUAAACAACAGGUGCAAAGCCGAGUAUUUGCUCCUUCAGCCCCUGAGCACAGGCCUCUCACCUACCAAGCAGGGUUUGACCCUGUGGUGUGCAUGUCUGUCUGUGCUCUCUGGCUGCCAUGGUGUGACUGUGCCACAACCAGACCUGACAUGUUUGCUAGAUCAUCAUCCAUGGCUUGUCAACAUAGUAUGUGGCAGUAACAGCUGAGCCAUCCAACAAAAGGAUGCGUGGGACCCUAAGGGGCUGAAGUCCAGCUCUCCUUUCUGAUUGCAUGGCUGUUUCCUUUCAUGACUGGACAAGUACUGUUUUCUGAAUGGUGACUUGGGGAGGGGAAAAUUUUUUUAAAAUACAAAGCAGAACAGUUGGCAGGAGAGGGUUUUGGUGGGGGAACCCUACUCUGGACAGAAAGAGGGUGCCCCCCCCCCCCACUCCUGACUUGACUCCUGACUUGACUGGAGGGAGGACAGUGGGUAAGCCCAGUGGGAGGGUUCAUGGGGAGGCAGAGCCAAGACUACUUGUGGGGGAAAGAAUGGCUUGAGGUGCAGGUGGUGGUGGAGCCUGGAUCUGUGUCAGCUGAUGAAAAACAGCACUUCUGUAAAAAUACAGUGCUCAGGGCCAUGCUCCCAUGGCUGGGAAUGUACACACAGACAAGGCGCGCCACCCUGGCUGGAAAGUCAGGGGCUCUGGUCAGAACCAGCACAGCUAGAGUCAGAAACACAGCUCACUUCAAAGACACUUUAACUGAUCAGCCAUUUUCUGUUAGCUCAACAACUUCUAGUAUAAAUUCUUCAGACACAACACACCAUCCAGAUGACAGGCCAAGCCUGGGACAUACUGAAGUACACUGGCUUUUUAUUCCAUGCAUUUGUUUGCUUUGACACUCAUUCUUGUUCCCAUCACUGUACACUGUUCAGUACAGAAAUCAAGUUUGUAUCAGGAAGCCACAGCGCAAGGAUGAGACACCGGGAAGGGCUGAGAUGAAAUGGUCACUUUUAACACACAGUGGGAAAAACAACAUUAACCAUAAACGCCAGAAACCAGGCUGGUGUUGAGCUGUCAGAAGCCGUGCUGGGUGAGGAGUGGGCAGUGAGCCCACAACUCACCCUUCUCCUGGGAAGGAGAGUUUAUAGAGAAGAAAAGAAAAUGAAGUAGCCUGUCUACGCAGGGGGCUGUUCUCUGGGCAUUUCGAGCCUGCCCUUCCCCAGGCUGAACGGCACUGUUACUAGCGCUUCCGCCUGCAGCUCACCCUUUGUAAUCCCCUCAUGCAAACUCUGCACUCAAGCCAGACAGCAGCACCUUCUGCGCUCAGCUCCACCCGUGUAAAUCCACAGUAAGUAAACAUGCUUCGGUGAGGUUACACUGGGCUUACAGCUUUUGCCUCUCUAUCCCAUCUUCC